AUGGUGGGAUGUUCUGCCACCUCAUGGUGGGAUGUUCUGUCACCUCAUGGUGGGAUCAUAUGCUGGACCAUAGCGGGAUGCUCUGCCAGGUUAUGGUUGGGUGCUCUACUUGACCAUGGUGGGAUGCUCUGCCAGCUUAUGGUGGGAUCCUAUGCUGGACCACAGUGGGAUGCUCUGCCAGGGUUUGGUGGGAUGUUCUUCUGGACGAUGGUGGGAUGCUCUGCUGUACCACAGCAGCAGCCCAUCCUCACCAGCACAGUAGAGCGGUGGGUUAUGAACUGUGGAAAGUCUUUGAGUGCUGCGGAUCAGCACGAGCUAACACCGAAAGGGAUUUUUUUGCUUAAAAAAAAAUAAAAAUAAGGAAUCAAUAACUUCAGCCCCAGGAAUUGGGAUGUACGACACAACUGAAGCCAUUUUCUUUUCUUUUUUUUUUUUUGGACCAGUUUGGGAAAUGGUCUCUGCAAAGCAACACCAAGUCCGGCUGGAGGGAGUUUGCUGGUGUUUUGGGGUGGGAAAGGGCUGAUCCCGAGAGAUCCCGGAUCUCUUGGCCCUGGCAGAGCUGCCCUCGGCGGGGACAGGAGGCAGGGACUGGGCUCACCCCUCGCUGUUGACAGAUCAUCCCAGGAAAUCAAUGGGAUUGACCGGAAUGGGGGCAGAAAAUAAUCCUUAAAAUGGCCGUAAUUGGUGCGAGCGUUCGUUACCCAGCAGUUAAUUGCGUCGGUUCAUUCAAAGCGCAUCUGGAUUCAGCUCGGGAUCAAAUUCCUUGACUUCAGGAGGAAAUCUGGCCCUAAACCGUGAACCGCCCCCCCAGUGCCACUGCCGCCUCCAGCGGCUCCUGUGGCUGAACUGAACCUGGCAAAUUUUCGGGUGAUUCCAGAGGGGGUGAACCCCUCCCUGGGGAAGCCCGAGAUUUUCCCGGGAGCCCCGAGCAGCCGGUGCCCGUGGGGUCCCUCAGCUUCACAUCAAACCCGGGGGGGGGAGGGGGGCACGACCUUAUAUAUAACCAAUUCAUUUUUGUUUAUCUACCUCUUAGCGACAAUAGAUUAAAAACUAGGUAGUGGCAACUCCACAUGCUGUAGUUUAGGGGAAAAAAAAAAAGUAAGAAAAAAAAAUUACUCUCUUUUUCCAAAGAAAAAUGUUCUUUAAAAAUAGAAUUUAUGGGCUUUCUUUUUCACUUGAAAGUGGUCAUUAGUUGUAAAAGCUCCAGACCUCAGCAGUCUGAAAUGUUUGGUUGUGACUGAUUAUUUUUUGUUAAUGCUCAAUCUUCCAUUUCUUUAUAUUUUGAUAUUUUUUUUUUUUUUGGCCUUUUGAACUUGGAGAUUAACUUCUUCCAUCAGCAGUUACACCUCCAGCC
RNAcentral lists this long non-coding RNA (1354 nucleotides) under Calidris pygmaea (Spoon-billed sandpiper). RNAcentral describes it as "lncRNA (ENSCPGG00000013359.1)". The record is from RNAcentral. Lineage: Eukaryota; Metazoa; Chordata; Aves; Charadriiformes; Scolopacidae.